Non-coding RNA from Triticum aestivum (bread wheat), 79 nucleotides. NCBI's taxonomy places the organism in Eukaryota, Viridiplantae, Streptophyta, Magnoliopsida, Poales, Poaceae. The record is from Rfam.
AGGAGCCGUGCGAGAUGAAAGUCUCAUGCACGGUUUUGCAUGAGAGAAAGAAGCCAGGAAUCCUCUUUUCAACUAUGAC